This 73-nucleotide transfer RNA is filed under the name Flavobacteriales bacterium. RNAcentral describes it as "tRNA-Gly". It matches the Rfam family "tRNA". From Rfam's summary of the family: Transfer RNA (tRNA) molecules are approximately 80 nucleotides in length. Their secondary structure includes four short double-helical elements and three loops (D, anti-codon, and T loops). Lineage: Bacteria; Pseudomonadati; Bacteroidota; Flavobacteriia; Flavobacteriales. RNAcentral also lists the same sequence under 2 other names. The record is from RNAcentral.
GCGGGAGUAGCUCAGUUGGUAGAGCUUCAGCCUUCCAAGCUGAACGUCGCGAGUUCGAGUCUCGUCUCCCGCU